GCAAGUCGAACGGUAACAGCAGGAGCUUGCUCCUGGCUGACGAGUGGCGGACGGGUGAGUAACGCGUAGGAAUCUGCCCAGUAGUGGGGGACAACCCGGGGAAACUCGGGCUAAUACCGCAUACGCCCUACGGGGGAAAGGAGGGGAUCUCUUCGGAGACCUUUCGCUAUUGGAUGAGCCUGCGUCGGAUUAGCUAGUUGGUAGGGUAAUGGCCUACCAAGGCGACGAUCCGUAGCUGGUCUGAGAGGACGAUCAGCCACACUGGGACUGAGACACGGCCCAGACUCCUACGGGAGGCAGCAGUGGGGAAUAUUGCACAAUGGGGGCAACCCUGAUGCAGCAAUGCCGCGUGUGUGAAGAAGGCCUGCGGGUUGUAAAGCACUUUCAAUUGGGAAGAAAAGGUGAGGGCUAAUACCCCUUAUUCUUGACGUUACCUUUAGAAGAAGCACCGGCUAACUCCGUGCCAGCAGCCGCGGUAAUACGGAGGGUGCGAGCGUUAAUCGGAAUUACUGGGCGUAAAGCGUGCGUAGGUGGUUCAGUCAGUCAGAUGUGAAAGCCCCGGGCUUAACCUGGGAACUGCAUUUGAUACUGCUGGGCUAGAGUGUGGUAGAGGGAAGUGGAAUUCCGG
RNAcentral lists this ribosomal RNA (628 nucleotides) under uncultured Gammaproteobacteria bacterium. Its description in RNAcentral is "bacterial SSU rRNA". It matches the Rfam family "Bacterial small subunit ribosomal RNA", at positions 57 to 672 of the family's 1533-position model. Lineage: Bacteria; Pseudomonadati; Pseudomonadota; Gammaproteobacteria. The record is from RNAcentral.